Molecule: ribosomal RNA, 478 nt
Filed under: uncultured bacterium
Lineage: Bacteria
Description: partial 16S ribosomal RNA
Rfam family: Bacterial small subunit ribosomal RNA
Source: RNAcentral
GACAAACGCUGGCGGCGUGCUUAACACAUGCAAGUCGAACGGUAAGGCCCUUCGGGGUACACGAGUGGCGAACGGGUGAGUAACACGUGGGUGAUCUGCCCUGCACUUCGGGAUAAGACUGGGAAACUGGGUCUAAUACCAGAUAGGACCACUGCCUGCAUGGGUGGUGGUGGAAAGCUUUUGCGGUGUGGGAUGGGCCCGCGGCCUAUCAGCUUGUUGGUGGGGUGAUGGCCUACCAAGGCGACGACGGGUAGCCGGCCUGAGAGGGUGGCCGGCCACACUGGGACUGAGAUACGGCCCAGACUCCUACGGGAGGCAGCAGUGGGGAAUAUUUCACAAUGGGCGCAAGCCUGAUGCAGCGACGCCGCGUGAGGGAUGACGGCCUUCGGGUUGUAAACCUCUUUCAGCACCGACGAAGCGCAAGUGACGGUAGGUGCAGAAGAAGGACCGGCCAACUACGUGCCAGCAGCCGCCGUAA